RNAcentral lists this ribosomal RNA (432 nucleotides) under uncultured bacterium. RNAcentral describes it as "bacterial SSU rRNA". It matches the Rfam family "Bacterial small subunit ribosomal RNA", at positions 917 to 1350 of the family's 1533-position model. The record is from RNAcentral.
GGGCCCGCACAAGCGGUGGAGUAUGUGGUUUAAUUCGAUGCAACGCGAAGAACCUUACCAGGGUUUGACAUCCUGCGAAUUUCUUGGAAACGAGAAAGUGCCUUCGGGAACGCAGUGACAGGUGGUGCAUGGCUGUCGUCAGCUCGUGUCGUGAGAUGUUGGGUUAAGUCCCGCAACGAGCGCAACCCACGUCUUUAGUUGCCAGCAUUUAGUUGGGCACUCUAGAGAGACUGCCGGUGAUAAACCGGAGGAAGGUGUGGAUGACGUCAAGUCAUCAUGCCCCUUACAUCCUGGGCUACACACGUACUACAAUGCUACGGACAAAGGGCAGCAAGUUCGCGAGGACAAGCAAAUCCCAUAAACCGUGGCUCAGUUCAGAUCGUAGGCUGCAACUCGCCUACGUGAAGGCGGAAUCGCUAGUAAUCGCAGGUC